RNAcentral lists this microRNA precursor (82 nucleotides) under Cricetulus griseus (Chinese hamster). Its description in RNAcentral is "mir-684". The record is from RNAcentral. Lineage: Eukaryota; Metazoa; Chordata; Mammalia; Rodentia; Cricetidae.
ACAAGACACUUGGUUUGAAGGGGAAACUAUCUAAGACUCAUUUUUUAACUUUACUCCUACUUAAAGAUGCAUUACCCCACAU